Molecule: long non-coding RNA, 3300 nt
Filed under: Homo sapiens (human)
Lineage: Eukaryota; Metazoa; Chordata; Mammalia; Primates; Hominidae
Description: HSALNT0112275
Source: RNAcentral
CUUGGAUACACUGCAAGAGACAAUAACAGACAAUGAAAUAGAAACCUACCAAGAAACCUGAGGCCUCCAAAAGAUCCAGGAUUUUGGGAUUCCAAACAGAGCUGUCCUAUCUACAGGUAGAACAAGUCUUGUGGCUCACUGCAGGGCAGCAGAGUUGCUGAGUGGAGUUAAGCCUGGCAUGUGCAGGCCUAGAAGCCAGAGAACAGCCAACCUUCAGCGAAGACACCGUACACUGGGUAGUUGUCAAAGGUAAAGCCCAGGACAAUGUGGCAUUGGUAUAUCCUGGGUCCCUAAGGUGUCCUCACAUAUCAAGCAAAACUCAAAACUGGUGAUUCAACUAGAUGGUAGCAUGUCAAACCUAAAUAGGUAGACAGUUUGGGGAGUCGGCUGCCUACUAGCACCUUUCACCCCACAGCUGCCCUGAAAACCCUGAGUUGCCCUGACCUGCUAUCAGACAGAUUUGAUAUAUUUCUUCUUACCUUACUUAAUUCAUCUGUACCUGUCUUGACCAUUCCCUCCACAGGCCACGGUGGCACCUGGAUUCCUUUUUCUUACUUCCUGCUCAGUCUCCUUUGCCAUCUCUUUUUGCCUCUCUCCACCCCUUUGGUGUUUGUGUUCCAUCUUCAGCUUUUUCUCCUCUCACUCUUCUAGUUCUCCCGGAGCGAGUUCAUCCCCUACCUCAGCUUCAAGUAAUCUGGAUGUUGAUAUCCCCCAAACUUCUAACUGCAGCUGAGGCUCCAUCCUGAGCUCCAGACCCAGAUAUCCACUGGCUCAUUAGAUGUCUCCAUUUAAGUUCCUACAAGCACUUCAGAUCCAUCAUGUGGAAUUCAAUUCCUUACUUUCCAUCCUCAAAUUUGCUCUUUCUCCUGUGUUUCCCAUUAACGCGUUACAUUCUCCUGAGUUGUCCAAGCCUGGAACCAGGGUGUUUUCUUCUCUCACCCCACUCUCCCCUCUCAUGGAAAACCCAUCACGAAGCCCUAUUGACUUAUCUGGUCAUUAACUAAAAUCCAUCUGAGUUCAUCACUCACUGCCUCAAUUUUCUGUUUUGCCAUUUACCACUUGCCAAAAACCUCAGGAAGGACCCCUCUUGUUCCCACAUUUGGAGUGAUCUUUUUAAAACAAAACCUGGUUACACUCUUAUCUAAAACUCUGUAUGUCUUUCCAACAACUUGUGAGUUAAGACCAACUUAGCAAGCAUGGCAGACAAGGCCCUUCGUAAUGUGGCUCCAUGUAACUUGGCAAUUGGUAUGUAACUUGGCAAUGGGUCUUCCACUUCCCUACCCUCUAUACAUGUACCCCAAUUUCCAAGCAAGCUGAAAUACUCAGUUUCCUUAACAACUUAGGCUACUUCACACCUUUGUGUCUUGACAAAAAGGGCCUUCUCUGAUCGAUAGGCUUUUUCCCCUCUAGUCCAUCUGGAAAACUCUUCCUCUUUCUAGUUUUAGUUUGAAGGCCUUGCAGGCAAGUGAGGUGCCUUUUACUCUUGUGUAUUCUCUUUUCACUCCUCACACACACCACAAUUCUGGUUCUGAUGAUGCUGUCUGGCCAUAAUUUUAUGCAUAUGUCUGUCUCUCUGGUUUUAAGUAUGCAUCUCAAAAAGGUUGAGAGUCCUUUUAAACAGAGACCCUAUUUUUUUCAUUGUUAAGUUUCUAGUUCCUGGCACAGUGCCUUGUGCAUGCUUAUACCUUAAGUCACUAAACACUUGUUAAACAAAUGAAUACAUGUGCAGAACAGUAAUAAAACCAUAAAAUGUCAUUGUUAGAAGAAAUAUUGGAGACGAUCUCAAAUAACACAUAAUAAAACUAAAUCUCAGAAAAAUUAAGUAAUUUGUCCAAAGCCACACAAUUACAUAGAGACAAAAUCAUGCACUUGGAUUGGUCCUGUGCUAUUUCCACUUCAACACACUUCAUUUUUAUAUAAAUUCAGACUUCUCAUUAUUUUCAAUUUGUCUUCUUCCAGCAAGGAUAAAUGAGAUUUUACUUAGCAAUUCUUACUGUGAUAAAAUCUGAUCAUUGUCCCUUCAUUAUCAACACAAACAUUGUAAUAUUCUUGACAACUGAAGAAAUUACUUACCGGUUCACUCAGAUUAUGUGGUGUGCCAAGGUCAAGCUGCUGGCCCUGAAAUGAAGAAGGAGGUAGUAAACACCAGCCAUCAGUACUGGGUUCCGUGUAACUAACACACCUUUUAAAAAAGCUUCCUGAAAUAACGUUGCCUCCUCCGCAUUUUGUAACUCUAAAGUAAAGAGCCAAAUGUUUUAGAGGCAUUAAAUUCAUCACUACCAGACAAAAUGCUGGUGCAAAUUAUAGAUAUAAUGUCUUAAGAACUUUGCAGGUACUACAAAGGUGGAAGUAAGAAUGUGGCUAUAGGGAGAGAGUCUCAUGCAGAAUUAAAUAAUCCUGUGGCAUUGGUCAGUUAAUCAAGUCAAAGGACUCCUAGAAACAGAGUCACCCAGGCUGGAGCACAGUGGUGUAAUCACAGCUGACAGCAUCCUCGACCUCCCUGCUCAAUCAAUCCUCCCACCUCAGCCUCCUAAGUAGCUGGGACUACAGGUGCAUGCCACCACGCCUAGCUAAUUUUUGUAUUUGUUGUAGAGACAGGAGUCUCACCAUGUUGCCCAGGCUGGUCUCAAACUCCUGGGCUGAAGGGAACUGUCCGCCUCAGCCUCCCAUAGUGCUGGAAUUACAGGCAUGAGCCAUCGCACUUAACCAAAAGUCAUACCUUUUUACAAAAUAUAUCCUGAAAUUUAUUUGAAUCUGGCAGUUAUGUAGGAAUUUUUUAUGCUACAUGGAUAGCAACUCAUUGGUUUGAAUUGUCAUCUUUAUCAUAUUUCACAUUCUUUAUGUACAUGGUUUUAUUUCUUGAUUGUAUUCUGUUUUACUCACAGGUUUAUUCCUGUAGCAAUAAAAACUAUGCUAAUUUGUAAAUAUUUUAUAAAAUUUCUGAAUUAUGAUCUUAUUAUAUUAUUUUGUUUUAAUGUUAUAUAUUGAUAUACAAGACAAUUUUUCAUGUCUGUACAUUAAUUUUUUAAAAAUCUUCCAAAUCCUAUUAUUUCUAAUAGUCUUUCAGUUGAUUUUCAGUUUAUUUCUUUGGAACUUAAGAUACAAAUCAAAAAUAAAUGUAUUGUCAUCACCCUCUAAUAUUAUAAAAGCACAUCAUGUUUGUAACAGCCUUUAACUGUCUAGUGAUAGAAACCUUGAUAUCUCAGUAUUUGAUAACUUACUUUAGGGCAUUGAUUACAUAAUUCACUUCUUUUGUAUUCCGAAUUGCAUCCACCACAGAGCUGAAUAUACAUAGAUACC